UUCCGGUUGAUCCCGCCGGACCUGACUGCUAUCGGAUUGAUACUAAGCCAUGCGAGUCAUUGUAGCAAUACAAGGCAGACGGCUCAGUAACGCGUAGUCAACCUAACCUAUGGAUGGGAAUAACCUCGGGAAACUGAGAAUAAUGCCCAAUAGAACACUAUACCUGGAAUGGUUUGUGUUCCAAAUGAUUUAUCGCCGUAGGAUGGGACUGCGGCCUAUCAGUUUGUUGGUGAGGUAAUGGCCCACCAAGACUAUUACAGGUACGGGCUCUGAGAGGAGUAGCCCGGAGAUGGGUACUGAGACACGGACCCAGGCCCUAUGGGGCGCAGCAGGCGAGAAAACUUUGCAAUGUGCGAAAGCACGACAAGGUUAAUCCGAGUGGUUUCUGCUAAAGGAACCUUUUGUCGGUCCUAGAAACACCGAUGAAUAAGGGGUGGGCAAGUUCUGGUGUCAGCCGCCGCGGUAAAACCAGCACCUCAAGUGGUCAGGAUGAUUAUUGGGCCUAAAGCAUCCGUAGCCGGCUCUGUAAGUUUUCGGUUAAAUCUGUACGCUUAACGUACAGGCUGCCGGGAAUACUGCAGAGCUAGGGAGUGGGAGAGGUAGACGGUACUCGGUAGGAAGGGGUAAAAUCCUUUGAUCUAUUGAUGACCACCUGUGGCGAAGGCGGUCUACCAGAACACGUCCGACGGUGAGGGAUGAAAGCUGGGGGAGCAAACCGGAUUAGAUACCCGGGUAGUCCCAGCUGUAAACUAUGCAA
RNAcentral lists this ribosomal RNA (757 nucleotides) under uncultured archaeon. RNAcentral's name for it is "bacterial SSU rRNA". It matches the Rfam family "Archaeal small subunit ribosomal RNA", at positions 1 to 765 of the family's 1478-position model. The record is from RNAcentral.